AGCGAACGUUAGCGGCGGGCUUAACACAUGCAAGUCGAGCGAGAAAGGGGCUUCGGCCCUGAGUACAGCGGCGGACGGGUGAAUAACACGUAGGUAACCUUCCUUUCAGCGGGGGACAACGGUCCGAAAGGACCGCUAAUACCGCAUACGUUCCCCGGGACCUCGGUCCUGGGGAGGAAAGGCCCGCAAGGGCCACUGGAUGAGGGGCCUGCGUAGCAUCAGCUAGUUGGUGGGGUAAUGGCCUACCAAGGCGAAGACGCUUUAGCUGGUCUGAGAGGAUGAUCAGCCACACUGGGACUGAGACACGGCCCAGACUCCUACGGGAGGCAGCAGUGGGGAAUAUUGGACAAUGGGCGCAAGCCUGAUCCAGCCACGCCGCGUGAGUGAUGAAGGCCUUCGGGUCGUAAAGCUCUGUGGGGAGGGAC
Molecule: ribosomal RNA, 425 nt
Filed under: uncultured bacterium
Lineage: Bacteria
Description: bacterial SSU rRNA
Rfam family: Bacterial small subunit ribosomal RNA
Source: RNAcentral